UGGGGAAUAUUGCACAAUGGGCGCAAGCCUGAUGCAGCCAUGCCGCGUGUAUGAAGAAGGCCUUCGGGUUGUAAAGUACUUUCAGCGGGGAGGAAGGCGAUAAGGUUAAUAACCUUGUCGAUUGACGUUACCCGCAGAAGAAGCACCGGCUAACUCCGUGCCAGCAGCCGCGGUAAUACGGAGGGUGCAAGCGUUAAUCGGAAUUACUGGGCGUAAAGCGCACGCAGGCGGUCUGUCAAGUCGGAUGUGAAAUCCCCGGGCUCAACCUGGGAACUGCAUUCGAAACUGGCAGGCUAGAGUCUUGUAGAGGGGGGUAGAAUUCCAGGUGUAGCGGUGAAAUGCGUAGAGAUCUGGAGGAAUACCGGUGGCGAAGGCGGCCCCCUGGACAAAGACUGACACUGAGAGACGAAAGCUAGGGGAGCGAAUG
Molecule: ribosomal RNA, 427 nt
Filed under: uncultured bacterium
Lineage: Bacteria
Description: partial 16S ribosomal RNA
Rfam family: Bacterial small subunit ribosomal RNA
Source: RNAcentral